RNAcentral lists this ribosomal RNA (497 nucleotides) under uncultured bacterium. Its description in RNAcentral is "partial 16S ribosomal RNA". It matches the Rfam family "Bacterial small subunit ribosomal RNA", at positions 28 to 507 of the family's 1533-position model. The record is from RNAcentral.
GACGAACGCUGGCGGCGUGCCUAAUACAUGCAAGUUGAGCGCUGAAGGUUGGUACUUGUCCCGACUGGAUGAGCAGCGAACGGGUGAGUAACGCGUGGGGAAUCUGCCUUUGAGCGGGGGACAACAUUUGGAAACGAAUGCUAAUACCGCAUAAAAACUUUAAACACAAGUUUUAAGUUUGAAAGAUGCAAUUGCAUCACUCAAAGAUGAUCCCGCGUUGUAUUAGCUAGUUGGUGAGGUAAAGGCUCACCAAGGCGAUGAUACAUAGCCGACCUGAGAGGGUGAUCGGCCACAUUGGGACUGAGACACGGCCCAAACUCCUACGGGAGGCAGCAGUAGGGAAUCUUCGGCAAUGGAUGAAAGUCUGACCGAGCAACGCCGCGUGAGGGAAGAAGGGUUUCGGAUCGUAAAACUCUGUUGGUAGAGAAGAACGUUGGUGAGAGUGGAAAGCUCAUCAAGUGACGGUAACUACCCAGAAAGGGACGGCUAACUACGUG